Molecule: unclassified non-coding RNA, 370 nt
Filed under: fungal sp.
Lineage: Eukaryota; Fungi
Description: partial internal transcribed spacer region
Rfam family: Eukaryotic small subunit ribosomal RNA (bases 1-46)
Source: RNAcentral
AAGUCGUAACAAGGUUUCCGUAGGUGAACCUGCGGAAGGAUCAUUAACACGUAUCCACGUACCAACCAAUCGUGAACUAGUUUUCGCAUCUCCCUUCUACUGGAGUUGGAUAGGUUCGACAGUUUGAGUGGGACUCUUCGGAGUCACGGUCGACCUUACUUGUGCCCGCUUCGGCGAGCGCUAACAAUUUCAGUAGCUAGGCAAAUUUCCUUAAUUGAAGCUCCAUUCAAGCUUCGAUUUUGGAAUCACACUAACCAAUUUCACCCCAUUUUUGCUAGUUGACUUUUUUAAUGUGGCGCUCUUCGAGCUCACACGUUUAAUUACUUGAACGUUAAAAAUACAACUCUUAGCAAUGGAUCUCUUGGCUCUC